GAUGAACGCUGGCGGCGUGCCUAAUACAUGCAAGUCGAGCGAACGGACGAGAAGCUUGCUUCUCUGAUGUUAGCGGCGGACGGGUGAGUAACACGUGGAUAACCUACCUAUAAGACUGGGAUAACUUCGGGAAACCGUAGCUAAUACCGGAUAAUAUUUUGAACCGCAUGGUUCAAAAGUGAAAGACGGUCUUGCUGUCACUUAUAGAUGGAUCCGCGCUGCAUUAGCUAGUUGGUAAGGUAACGGCUUACCAAGGCAACGAUGCAUAGCCGACCUGAGAGGGUGAUCGGCCACACUGGAACUGAGACACGGUCCAGACUCCUACGGGAGGCAGCAGUGGGGAAUCUUCCGCAAUGGGCGAAAGCCUGAAGGAGAAACGCCGCGUGAGUGAUGAAGGUCUUCGGAUCGUAAAACUCUGUUAUUAGGGAAGAACAUAUGUGAAAGUAACUGUGACCAUCUUGACGGUACCUAAUAAAAAAGCCACGGCUAACUACGU
Molecule: ribosomal RNA, 496 nt
Filed under: uncultured bacterium
Lineage: Bacteria
Description: partial 16S ribosomal RNA
Rfam family: Bacterial small subunit ribosomal RNA
Source: RNAcentral